This 162-nucleotide unclassified non-coding RNA is filed under the name fungal sp. RNAcentral's name for it is "partial internal transcribed spacer region". The stretch from base 1 to 46 matches the Rfam family "Eukaryotic small subunit ribosomal RNA", at positions 1786 to 1831 of the family's 1831-position model. The record is from RNAcentral. Lineage: Eukaryota; Fungi.
AAAUCGUAACAAGGUUUCCGUAGGUGAACCUGCGGAAGGAUCAUUAACACGUAUCCAAACGUUAAAAUGCCCCCUAAUAACCCCACAGUUUAAUGUGGAGCUCAAUGUAAUACAUUGGGUAAAAAAACCGAACAACUGUUAACAAUGGAUUUCUUGGUUCUC